UUGCCAAUAAUAUCUAAUUGGAAUACGUUUGUAUUCUUAUUUGCCUAUCAGCGUCUGACGUGCCUAACAUCAUUGACCUAUUAGGUACCUUUGCUUUCUCCAACGGCUAUAUUUUUGCCUUGGCAUUAUUCAAAUCAUUAUUUGCCUUCCCCAACGGUCCAUUUUUCAUGUAAUAAGACACAAACCCAACGUAUUAUUGGCCCUCCCCCAUAUAUUUAUGCAUUUCAUUUUCACAUCCCUGUCUGAACUCAUACAUAUUUUUCUCUCUUUUUCGAUAAUGGACUCCUCUAGCCCCGCCAAGGUUCAACAUGUGAACAAGAAGUCCUCCGAUGAACUGCUCAGAAAGUUUGCCGAACUGGAUUCGGAUUCUGCCGAAGAGGCACCGGGAAGGAAAGAGUUGAGGGUGUCAAAGCCCGGAAAAGGAGCAGGAGAACGAGAGAAGGUGAUCAGUGUGAGAGCCCAUCAAAUGGUAGUACGAGCUUACUAGAGAGGAGGUCGCUUCUUCCUCUGGCAGUGAAAAGGAGGUCGGCAUUGUUUCGGCAACUUGGGAUUGGGAGGUCACCCUUCAGGGCAAGGGAUAACAAAUCCAUCUUGGGGAGAAUUGAGAAGACAUGGCAUAAAACCGUAGAAGGGGCCUCAAAAGUUUUUAUGGAGAAGCAUUACCACCGGCAUAAGCGUUUGAUAAAUGACAUUGUUUAGAUUGAGCUUGAGCUCUCUCUUGGGAUUUUAAAGCUUUUCGAUGUGCCUUUACUGCCUUUAGAUGGGAAGGGGAAAUGCUAGUACGCCAUUUGUACAUUGGCAUUAAAUUUCAUAUCUUUUAUUUGUAAGUAUAUUAGUAUUCAUUUCACCAAACCAAUAAGGAAUAAAUCAAGACGAUUCAGUUCUCA
Long non-coding RNA from Juglans microcarpa x Juglans regia, 887 nucleotides. RefSeq lists it as uncharacterized. The record is from RefSeq and is a predicted model, not a curated record. Lineage: Eukaryota; Viridiplantae; Streptophyta; Magnoliopsida; Fagales; Juglandaceae. The transcript is spliced from 2 exons.